RNAcentral lists this ribosomal RNA (253 nucleotides) under uncultured bacterium. Its description in RNAcentral is "partial 16S ribosomal RNA". It matches the Rfam family "Archaeal small subunit ribosomal RNA", at positions 474 to 727 of the family's 1478-position model. The record is from RNAcentral.
UACCAGCACCCCGAGUGGUCGGGACGUUUAUUGGGCCUAAAGCAUCCGUAGCCGGUUCUACAAGUCUUCCGUUAAAUCCAGCUGCUUAACAGAUGGGCUGCGGAAGAUACUAUGGAGCUAGGAGGCGGGAGAGGCAAGCGGUACUCGAUGGGUAGGGGUAAAAUCCGUUGAUCCAUUGAAGACCACCAGUGGCGAAGGCGGCUUGCCAGAACGCGCUCGACGGUGAGGGACGAAAGCUGGGGGAGCAAACCGG